This 292-nucleotide ribosomal RNA is filed under the name uncultured bacterium. RNAcentral describes it as "partial 16S ribosomal RNA". The record is from RNAcentral.
GGACUACCAGGGUUUCUAAUCCUGUUUGCUCCCCUAGCUUUCGCAGCUCAGCGUCAGUAAUGUGCCAGGUGCCUGCUUUCGCCAUAGGUGUUCCUCCCGAUCUCUACGCAUUUCACCGCUACACCGGGAACUCCAGCACCCUCUCACACACUCAAGCCCGGUAGUAUCCAUUGACCGCUCCCAGUUAAGCCGGGAGAUUUCACAAUGGACUGACCGAGCCGCCUACCUGCCCUUUACGCCUAGUAAUUCCGAGUAACGCUAGCCACCUUCGUCUUACCGCGGCUGCUGGCAC